AUUGAACGCUGGCGGCAGGCCUAACACAUGCAAGUCGAGCGAGCGGCGGACGGGUGAGUAAUGUCUGGGAAACUGCCUGAUGGAGGGGGAUAACUACUGGAAACGGUAGCUAAUACCGCAUACCAUCAGAUGUGCCCAGAUGGGAUUAGCUAGUAGGUGGGGUAACGGCUCACCUAGGCGACGAUCCCUAGCUGGUUUGAGAGGAUGACCAGCCACACAGGAACGGUUGCACGGUCCAGACUCCAACGAGAGGCAGCAGUGGGGAAGAUUGCACGAUGGGCGCAAGCCUGAUACAGCCAUGCAGCGUGUGUGAAGAAGGCCUGCGGGUUGUAAGGCACUUUCAGCGGGGAGGCGUUACCCGCAGAAGAAGCACCGGCUAACUCCGUGCCAGCAGCCGCGGUAAUUC
RNAcentral lists this ribosomal RNA (406 nucleotides) under uncultured bacterium. RNAcentral's name for it is "partial 16S ribosomal RNA". It matches the Rfam family "Bacterial small subunit ribosomal RNA", at positions 29 to 526 of the family's 1533-position model. The record is from RNAcentral.